ACGCUGGCGGCAGGCCUAACACAUGCAAGUCGAGCGGUAGCACAGAGAGCUUGCUCUCGGGUGACGAGCGGCGGACGGGUGAGUAAUGUCUGGGAAACUGCCUGAUGGAGGGGGAUAACUACUGGAAACGGUAGCUAAUACCGCAUAACGUCGCAAGACCAAAGUGGGGGACCUUCGGGCCUCAUGCCAUCAGAUGUGCCCAGAUGGGAUUAGCUGGUAGGUGGGGUAACGGCUCACCUAGGCGACGAUCCCUAGCUGGUCUGAGAGGAUGACCAGCCACACUGGAACUGAGACACGGUCCAGACUCCUACGGGAGGCAGCAGUGGGGAAUAUUGCACAAUGGGCGCAAGCCUGAUGCAGCCAUGCCGCGUGUGUGAAGAAGGCCUUCGGGUUGUAAAGCACUUUCAGCGGGGAGGAAGGCGGUGAGGUUAAUAACCUCAUCGAUUGACGUUACCCGCAGAAGAAGCACCGGCUAACUCCGUGCCAGCAGCCGCGGUAAUACGGAGGGUGCAAGCGUUAAUCGGAAUUACUGGGCGUAAAGCGCACGCAGGCGGUCUGUCAAGUCGGAUGUGAAAUCCCCGGGCUCAACCUGGGAACUGCAUUCGAAACUGGCAGGCUAGAGUCUUGUAGAGGGGGGUAGAAUUCCAGGUGUAGCGGUGAAAUGCGUAGAGAUCUGGAGGAAUACCGGUGGCGAAGGCGGCCCCCUGGACAAAGACUGACGCUCAGGUGCGAAAGCGUGGGGAGCAAACAGGAUUAGAUACCCUGGUAGUCCACGCUGUAAACGAUGUCGAUUUGGAGGUUGUGCCCUUGAGGCGUGGCUUCCGGAGCUAACGCGUUAAAUCGACCGCCUGGGGAGUACGGCCGCAAGGUUAAAACUCAAAUGAAUUGACGGGGGCCCGCACAAGCGGUGGAGCAUGUGGUUUAAUUCGAUGCAACGCGAAGAACCUUACCUGGUCUUGACAUCCACAGAACUUUCCAGAGAUGGAUUGGUGCCUUCGGGAACUGUGAGACAGGUGCUGCAUGGCUGUCGUCAGCUCGUGUUGUGAAAUGUUGGGUUAAGUCCCGCAACGAGCGCAACCCUUAUCCUUUGUUGCCAGCGGUUCGGCCGGGAACUCAAAGGAGACUGCCAGUGAUAAACUGGAGGAAGGUGGGGAUGACGUCAAGUCAUCAUGGCCCUUACGACCAGGGCUACACACGUGCUACAAUGGCAUAUACAAAGAGAAGCGACCUCGCGAGAGCAAGCGGACCUCAUAAAGUAUGUCGUAGUCCGGAUUGGAGUCUGCAACUCGACUCCAUGAAGUCGGAAUCGCUAGUAAUCGUAGAUCAGAAUGCUACGGUGAAUACGUUCCCGGGCCUUGUACACACCGCCCGUCACACCAUGGGAGUGGGUUGCAAAAGAAGUAGGUAGCUUAACCUUCGGGAGGGCGCUUACCACUUUGUGAUUCAUGACUGGGG
RNAcentral lists this ribosomal RNA (1455 nucleotides) under Klebsiella sp. 2009I2. RNAcentral describes it as "16S ribosomal RNA". It matches the Rfam family "Bacterial small subunit ribosomal RNA". The record is from RNAcentral. Lineage: Bacteria; Pseudomonadati; Pseudomonadota; Gammaproteobacteria; Enterobacterales; Enterobacteriaceae.